GGGCCCGCACAAGCGGAGGAACAUGUGGUUUAAUUCGAUGGUACGCGAGGAACCUUACCUGGGCUUAAAUGAGAGGCGCCUUCGGGCGUAGUCUGUAGAAAUAUAGCUUAAACUUUCAAGGUGCUGCAUGGUUGUCGUCAGCUCGUGCCGUGAGGUGUCGGGUUAAGUCCCAUAACGAGCGCAACCCUCAUUCUUAGUUGCCAUCGGGUCAAGCCGGGCACUCUAAGGAAACUGCCAUCGUAAGAUGUGAGGAAGGUGGGGAUGACGUCAAAUCAGCACGGCCCUUAUGUCCAGGGCUACACACGUGUUACAAUGGGCGGUACAACAGGUUGCGACCUAGCGAUAGGUAGCUAAUCCCUAAAACCGCCCCCAGUUCGGAUUGGAGUCUGGAAUUCGACUCCAUGAAGCAGGAUUCGCUAGUAACCGCGCAUCAGCAAUGGCGCGAUGAAUACGUUCCCGGGCCUU
RNAcentral lists this ribosomal RNA (465 nucleotides) under uncultured bacterium. RNAcentral's name for it is "bacterial SSU rRNA". It matches the Rfam family "Bacterial small subunit ribosomal RNA", at positions 917 to 1382 of the family's 1533-position model. The record is from RNAcentral.